AGUUGGGAGGAAGAGGGAAGGGCCUGAUAGAAAGUUAGAACUGAGAGAAAUCGCUAGAAAGUACGAGAGCUUUAAUGUCAGGUGGUGAAGCCUUUCGUACUGUGAAAUCCCAUGGUAUUUGAUGAGUUGUAGCAAAGACCCCGUCUCUCCUCUUGUCACGCCUUGUU
Molecule: non-coding RNA, 167 nt
Organism: Ceratotherium simum simum (southern white rhinoceros)
Lineage: Eukaryota; Metazoa; Chordata; Mammalia; Perissodactyla; Rhinocerotidae
Source: RefSeq, a predicted model, not a curated record